GCCGGGNUCCUGCAUGGGGGUCCGGGAAAGCUCUGGCGGCGUGGGAUGGGGUCGCGUCCUAUCAGCUUGUUGGCGGGGUGAGGGCCCACCAAGGCUUCGACGGGUAGCCGGCCUGAGAGGGCGACCGGCCACAUUGGGACUGAGAUACGGCCCAGACUCCUACGGGAGGCAGCAGUGGGGAAUAUUGCACAAUGGGCGCAAGCCUGAUGCAGCGACGCCGCGUGCGGGAUGGAGGCCUUCGGGUUGUAAACCGCUUUUGUUUGGGAGCAAGCCCUUCGGGGUGAGUGUACCUUUCGAAUAAGCACCGGCUAACUACGUGCCAGCAGCCGCGGUAAUACGUAGGGUGCGAGCGUUAUCCGGAUUUAUUGGGCGUAAAGGGCUCGUAGGCGGUUCGUCGCGUCCGGUGUGAAAGUCCAUCGCCUAACGGUGGAUCUGCGCCGGGUACGGGCGGGCUGGAGUGCGGUAGGGGAGACUGGAAUUCCCGGUGUAACGGUGGAAUGUGUAGAUAUCGGGAAGAACACCAAUGGCGAAGGCAGGUCUCUGGGCCGUUACUGACGCUGAGGAGCGAAAGCGUGGGGAGCGAACAGGAUUAGAUACCCUGGUAGUCCACGCCGUAAACGGUGGAUGCUGGAUGUGGGGCCCUUCCACGGGUCCCGUGUCGGAGCCAACGCGUUAAGCAUCCCGCCUGGGGAGUACGGCCGCAAGGCUAAAACUCAAAGAAAUUGACGGGGGCCCGCACAAGCGGCGGAGCAUGCGGAUUAAUUCGAUGCAACGCGAAGAACCUUACCUGGGCUUGACAUGUUCCCGGCGACGGCGGAGACGUCGUUUCCCUUCGGGGCGGGUUCACAGGUGGUGCAUGGUCGUCGUCAGCUCGUGUCGUGAGAUGUUGGGUCAAGUCCCGCAACGAGCGCAACCCUCGCCCCGUGUUGCCAGCGCGUCAUGGCGGGAACUCACGGGGGACCGCCGGGGUUAACCCGGAGGAAGGUGGGGAUGACGUCAGAUCAUCAUGCCCCUUACGUCCAGGGCUUCACGCAUGCUACAAUGGCCGGUACAACGGGAUGCGACAUGGUGACAUGGAGCGGAUCCCUGAAAACCGGUCUCAGUUCGGAUCGGAGCCUGCAACC
RNAcentral lists this ribosomal RNA (1124 nucleotides) under Bifidobacterium sp. CWCAST32. RNAcentral's name for it is "bacterial SSU rRNA". It matches the Rfam family "Bacterial small subunit ribosomal RNA", at positions 173 to 1312 of the family's 1533-position model. Lineage: Bacteria; Bacillati; Actinomycetota; Actinomycetes; Bifidobacteriales; Bifidobacteriaceae. The record is from RNAcentral.